This 80-nucleotide non-coding RNA is filed under the name Brevibacillus brevis. Lineage: Bacteria; Bacillati; Bacillota; Bacilli; Caryophanales; Paenibacillaceae. RNAcentral also lists the same sequence under 1 other name. The record is from RNAcentral.
GAACGCCGUGUGCGAUGAAAGUCGUCCGCACGGUGUAGGCUCGAACGAAAAUCCUCAGAAAGAGAAGGGUAUAAGUCGAG